RNAcentral lists this ribosomal RNA (24 nucleotides) under Cercospora rodmanii. RNAcentral's name for it is "partial 28S ribosomal RNA". The record is from RNAcentral. Lineage: Eukaryota; Fungi; Ascomycota; Dothideomycetes; Mycosphaerellales; Mycosphaerellaceae.
GUUGACUUCGGAUCAGGUAGGGAU